Molecule: non-coding RNA, 1595 nt
Organism: Kogia breviceps (pygmy sperm whale)
Lineage: Eukaryota; Metazoa; Chordata; Mammalia; Artiodactyla; Physeteridae
Source: RefSeq, a predicted model, not a curated record
CAAUGCUCUGCGAUCGCGGCAGCUGCUCUCCAAAUGUCAGCGCCAAGCCCGGCCAAAGGGCUGGAAGGCCACGGAGCCCAGGACUUUGUGCGCUACCUUUGUCGCCCACAUUUUCCCCAAGCACUCACAGGACCCUGGCAACAGGUAACGUGGCAACCUUUGCCUUCUAAAACGGCAAGCGGCAGGAUUUCAGAGAACAAAAGGAUUUUUUGAAAGCCAGCUGCAUCUCCCUCGCCACCCCCCUCCCCCCUCCCCACGCCCUUCCACUCCGCCACUCCAAGUCUGAGAAAACAAAGUAUUGCUGCGGCAGCCCGGCUCUCGAGCGUCCCCUGGUGACCAAGCUCGGAACAUCACCGAUGUACCUUUCAAGGUACAACUUCAGUUCGAGGCUCGGCUCCCAGGCCGAAUGCCAUCCACACAAAAGAGCUCCUGUCGACAUCUCAUUUACAAUCUACCCCCAGGACACAGACAGGACCAUUUCAAUAAACCCGGCUCAGAAACACCUAUUGUUCAAAAUCUUCAACUAGCCACAGGCUACCACCACUCCCUAUUGUUUUGUAAAAGAAAAGAUUUAGAAGGAGCCAGAUUGGAACCUGGAAGCUCUGAAAAGAGGAAGGAAAAAAGUUCCUUUGACCCGAUGCUGUUGGAGAACGUUCCUGAAGAAUAAAGCUAAUGGAUUUUCAUUUUUACAAGAAGUGCAUAAGCAACGCCCGCUCCCUUCCUGAACUCGUGAUCAGGGAUUCUAAAAGCGGUGCCAACUUUGUAAAGAAGUUAACUCCUGCCAACGGGUUUGGUACCUGCAAAGUCAAAAGUCUCUACUUACCCUAUUCUCUGUCUUACAAAAGCCCUGAUGGCAGCCACAGCAAAGCACCAGGUUUCAGAGCUCCAUGUCCUCCGGACCACUUUUCCUUUUAGCUGUUCAAGCCACCAAGUUCCCUGGCCUUUGCAGAUGGACUUUCCCUAUAGGAACAUUCUGUCCUCUUUCUCCUUCAGGUAUCAGCUGAGGUGUCGCCUUUUCCAGGAAGGCUUCCGGAAGUCCCUCUAAAUGCAUCCUCUUAGUUCUCAUGAGAACUCCUCACGUUUUAUCUGACAGAGCACUUAUUGCAUCAUGAUUAUCUUCUCAGUUCCUUACAGAACUUUAAGCUCCAAGGGGCAGCCAGUAUAUAUUUGUUGGGGGUAAAUAUUGUGCAUUGAAUGUGUCACAUCUUACACAGUUCACACUUCCUACAAACCCAUUUGGAUAGUUAUAAAAUAUCGUAUCUCUAUUUCUCAAAGCUUUAGUUUUCAUUCUUUUACACUGAAGUGUCUCUUGUUCAUUUGCUCUUCAACUACAACCUAAUCAACUUCCGAAUUCACUGGACUCCUCCUCUUAAAAAUCAAAAUAAUAAAAUGCGGGGAAAGCUGUUGUACCCCUGGCUGGUCACUCACCCUCUCUGAGCCUCAGAUAAUAUAGAGGAGCAGAGCUCACUCUAAGAUCUCUUCCAGGCUGCCACGCUGAACCUCUGGCUUGCACUUUCUAAGGACCAGAGAGGUUAAGUGACUUUCCCAAGGUCAAACAGCUCUCUAGUGGCAGGAUAUUGUCUGUCUUUCUAUAG